This 496-nucleotide ribosomal RNA is filed under the name uncultured bacterium. RNAcentral's name for it is "partial 16S ribosomal RNA". It matches the Rfam family "Bacterial small subunit ribosomal RNA", at positions 28 to 506 of the family's 1533-position model. The record is from RNAcentral.
GAUGAACGCUGGCGGCGUGCCUAAUACAUGCAAGUCGAGCGAACAGACGAGGAGCUUGCUCCUCUGACGUUAGCGGCGGACGGGUGAGUAACACGUGGAUAACCUACCUAUAAGACUGGGAUAACUUCGGGAAACCGGAGCUAAUACCGGAUAAUAUAUUGAACCGCAUGGUUCAAUAGUGAAAGACGGUUUUGCUGUCACUUAUAGAUGGAUCCGCGCCGCAUUAGCUAGUUGGUAAGGUAACGGCUUACCAAGGCAACGAUGCGUAGCCGACCUGAGAGGGUGAUCGGCCACAGUGGAACUGAGACACGGCCCAGACUCCUACGGGAGGCAGCAGUAGGGAAUCUUCCGCAAUGGGCGAAAGCCGGACGGAGCAACGCCGCGGGAGUGAUGAAGGUCUUCGGAUCGUAAAACGCUGUUAUUAGGGAAGAACAAAUGUGUAAGUAGCUAUGCACGUCUUGACGGUACCUAACCAGAAAGCCACGGCUAACUACGU